GGUCAAAUAAUUUUAUAUUUAGAUCAGAAUCUUGUAAAUUCUGGGAACCUAGUUCGGUUUUGACCU
Molecule: transfer RNA, 66 nt
Filed under: Dreissena polymorpha
Lineage: Eukaryota; Metazoa; Mollusca; Bivalvia; Myida; Dreissenidae
Description: tRNA-Thr
Source: RNAcentral